RNAcentral lists this ribosomal RNA (407 nucleotides) under uncultured bacterium. Its description in RNAcentral is "partial 16S ribosomal RNA". It matches the Rfam family "Bacterial small subunit ribosomal RNA", at positions 30 to 526 of the family's 1533-position model. The record is from RNAcentral.
AUUGAACGCUGGCGGCAGGCCUAACACAUGCAAGUCGAGCGGAGCGGCGGACGGGUGAGUAACGCGUAGUAACAUGCCUUAGAGAAGGGGAUAGCCUUUGGAACGGAAGAAUAAUACCCUAACCUAUAAGAUGGACUUGCGUCGUAUUAGCUAGUUGGUGGGAUAAUCGCUCAACAAGGCAACGAUCAGUAGCCGGCUUGAGAGAGUGUACGGCCACAUUGGAACUGAGACACGGUCCAGACUCCUACGGGAGGCAGCAGUGGGGAAUAUUGGACAAUGGGCGAAAGCCUGAUCCAGCCAUGCCGCGUGUGUGAAGAAGGUCUUCGGAUUGUAAAGCACUUUAAGUUGGGAGGCGUUACCAACAGAAUAAGCACCGGCUAACUUCGUGCCAGCAGCCGCGGUAAUAC